UAGUACAAACAAACAAACAAACAAACAAACGGGGUCCCGUCUGCUCCCCCUUAGUCAAGCCAUAGAGCGCUGGAUCAGUAGUACGGUGGGUGACCACGUGCGAAUACCCAGUGUUGUACUUC
RNAcentral lists this ribosomal RNA (122 nucleotides) under Ceratocystis platani. The record is from RNAcentral. Lineage: Eukaryota; Fungi; Ascomycota; Sordariomycetes; Microascales; Ceratocystidaceae.